GUCAUUUUUCGCACAAACGUGCUGUGCUGGGAGUUUUGCAGACCUGACGUUUUGCUAGAAGGGCAAACAUUUCAGCUCCUCUCCAUCCGAGCACAGUGCAGCUAUUGGCUUUGCUUUAAAAACCAGCAUCGAAUCUUAAAACUGAAGUCCCAUUAAAAGCAUCUAUAAGGGUCAUGAAGCUGGUUGCGGGUUUAGCAGCGGUGUUGUGGCUGUGGGUUGCUGAGGCGGUAGAAAACUGUCCCAGCCUUUGUAAAUGCACUCAGAAAUCCAGUACAGAACGGACUGUGACUGUCAACUGUGAGAAGAGAGGACUCGAGACCAUCCCACCUGAAUUCCCACUGAACUCAUGGAUCCUUAAAUUGGGUGAAAAUGUACUACAUGACCUUCCGGCCAACAUUCUAACCUCCGUUCCAGAAAUCGAGAGCGUAAACUUUGAACGGAAUUCAAUUAAGUCAAUACACCCUCAAGCAUUCGCCGGUGCGCAACGACUGAUGCUUCUGAAUCUGCAAGGAAACCAAAUGUCCAAACUCCCAAUAAAGGGCUUCAAAGACCUCCUGAACCUUCGCUUUCUCAUGCUGGGCCAGAACCAGAUAGCUAGCCUAAACCCCAAUAUGUUUUUCGGCAUGAGGAAUCUGUCGGAUCUCGAUCUUCCUUUGAACUCCCUC
This is a non-coding RNA of Paramisgurnus dabryanus, 665 nucleotides long. Lineage: Eukaryota; Metazoa; Chordata; Actinopteri; Cypriniformes; Cobitidae. The record is from RefSeq and is a predicted model, not a curated record.